UCUCAGCUUUUUUCCUUGGAUGCUGCUCAGUUUAGGAAGGCUGUUUGGUGUAGUGGUUAAAUCUACUGAAGCCCUGGGUUUGAAUCCCGGCCAUGCCACUUACUGGCUGGACAACUCACUUAAUCUCUCUGUGUCUGUUUCUUGUAAAAUGGAUACAGUAACAAUACUGACCUUAGAGGGUUCUUGCCACGAUGACAAAAUGCAUGUAAGAUGUUCAGGUGGUACUUGGCAUAAAGUAAGCUAUUAUUUUUUUGGUUUCAUUCAGCUUCCUGAUAUCGGGUUGGUGACUAUACCCCUGGGGAGACCUGUCUCCUUUAAAAGUAACUUGGAGUUUGGGCAUUCUGGAAAACGGGAGCUGUCGUUGUUGGUGGGAGUACUGCAGGCUGGCCCUGCGGAGCAGACCUGAGACACAGUGUCCUUCCAAAUUUGGUGGCCUUUCCUUGGUGGGGAGGAGAAAAGCAGCUGGCCUCCAGACUCGGCACCUUGCUGUGCCACCACCGCUGUGUGCCCUCAGUGGCAACGGCGGUGGUGGCGGCUGGCACUGGGCUAAGUGACCACCUCCUGAACAUCACUCCCUUUCCUCCUCUCGACAACGUUAUGACGUGUGGACAUCAGCUGGCAACUGAGGAUGCAGAGAGCUUAACUACCUGAUGCAAGGGCGUGCGUCUCAUCGGUGGCAGAGCUGGCACUGGACACGUGGGCCGCUGCUCUGAAGCACAAGGCCUGGCAAGUUGCCAUUGACAGUCCUCCUUGUUGUCACACCACGAGAGGCUGGUCUCCCACCCCCAAAUCCUCAGAAUUACCCAGGCACUCAAACUAUCUCCAUGCCUGGGCCCACCCCAGACCCACUAAAGCAGCCUUUCUGGGACGUGGGCACCA
This is a long non-coding RNA of Felis catus (domestic cat), 879 nucleotides long. RefSeq lists it as uncharacterized. NCBI's taxonomy places the organism in Eukaryota, Metazoa, Chordata, Mammalia, Carnivora, Felidae. The record is from RefSeq and is a predicted model, not a curated record. The transcript has 3 exons.